UAAAAGGAUCUGCCGUCCUGCUCAACCUCCUUUUCAGUUGAGCACGCCUGGGUGUAUCGGAUCAUGUCAGGGGACUCUGUGGAUUUUAAAAGCUUUAGAGACAGACCAUGGAGGCCUGGAGGGAAUGGAGCCUGAUGGUAUUAUUGAGAGCAACUGGAAAGAAAUUACCGAAAAUUUUGAUGACAUGAACCUGAAGGAGGCCCUCGAGGGGAAUCUGUGCCUGGUUUUGAGAAACCAUCGGCAGUUCAGCAAAGGGCAAACCUUCUAUGCAUCAUAGGUAUGAUUUUUCAAUUCAGAUCUUUCUAAGGUCUGUUAUGAGCUUGUGUUCAGAUCUGUUUUGAGUGACAUGAUGCUUUACCAUCUUUCGGGACUGACCUUAACUGGAGAUAUCUUUUCUAACUGAUCACUCAAUAGCCUAAUUAUAUUAAUGGGACACUGCCGUCCUCUGUGCUUUGCAGUUGCAUAUACUUUUUUCUCAAUGCAAAGUUAUUAUUCUCUGAAGUGAACAAGAGCAUUUGCUUUGGGCUUCUGGGGAAACGACUUG
Anguilla rostrata (American eel) is the source of this 544-nucleotide long non-coding RNA. RefSeq lists it as uncharacterized. NCBI's taxonomy places the organism in Eukaryota, Metazoa, Chordata, Actinopteri, Anguilliformes, Anguillidae. The transcript has 3 exons. The record is from RefSeq and is a predicted model, not a curated record.